RNAcentral lists this ribosomal RNA (492 nucleotides) under uncultured bacterium. RNAcentral describes it as "partial 16S ribosomal RNA". It matches the Rfam family "Bacterial small subunit ribosomal RNA", at positions 29 to 507 of the family's 1533-position model. The record is from RNAcentral.
AUUGAACGCUGGCGGCAUGCUUUACACAUGCAAGUCGAACGGUAACAGGCCUUCGGGUGCUGACGAGUGGCGAACGGGUGAGUAAUGCAUCGGAACGUACCCAGAGGUGGGGGAUAACGCAGCGAAAGCUGUGCUAAUACCGCAUGCGAUCUGUGGUUGACAGCGGGGGACCGCGCAGCAAUGUUUGGCCUCGCGCCUUUGGAGCGGCCGAUGGCGGAUUAGCUAGUUGGUGGGGUAAAGGCCUACCAAGGCGACGAUCCGUAGCUGGUCUGAGAGGACGACCAGCCACACUGGGACUGAGACACGGCCCAGACUCCUACGGGAGGCAGCAGUGGGGAAUUUUGGACAAUGGGCGCAAGCCUGAUCCAGCAAUGCCGCGUGCGAGAAGAAGGCCUUCGGGUUGUAAACCGCUUUUGGCAGGAACGAAGCGGUGUCCGCUAAUACCGGGCGCUAAUGACGGUACCUGCAGAAUAAGCACCGGCUAACUACGUG